AUGACUGAACGCCUCUAAGUCAGAAUCCCGCCUAGACGUAACGAUACCAUAGCGCCGCGGAUCUUCGGUUGGCCCCGGAUAACCGGCCUCGGUCGGUGAGUAGAGCCGUUCGUGACAGGGCUGGGGUGCGGCCGGAUGAUGGUCGCCCCUCUCCUAUCUCGCACCGCAUGUUUGUGGAGAACCUGGUGCUAAAUCACUUGUAGACGACCUGCUUCUGGGUCGGGGUUUCGUACGUAGCAGAGCAGCUCCCUCGCUGCGAUCUAUUGAAAGUCAGCCCUCGACACAAGGGUUUGU
This is a ribosomal RNA of Trichinella sp. T6, 294 nucleotides long. It matches the Rfam family "Eukaryotic large subunit ribosomal RNA", at positions 3116 to 3401 of the family's 3401-position model. The record is from Rfam. NCBI's taxonomy places the organism in Eukaryota, Metazoa, Nematoda, Enoplea, Trichinellida, Trichinellidae.